RNAcentral lists this ribosomal RNA (1214 nucleotides) under metagenome. RNAcentral's name for it is "bacterial LSU rRNA". It matches the Rfam family "Bacterial large subunit ribosomal RNA", at positions 1521 to 2744 of the family's 2925-position model. The record is from RNAcentral.
UAUUGAUGAAGGCAGGCAAAUCCACCUUCAGAGUCGAACCUGAUAGUACCGAGCGUUCUUGAACAAUCGGAUAAUAAGUGUAAACAGACUUCCAAGAAAAACCGCUAAACGUUAAUUCAUACGGUACCCGUACUACAAACGGACACACGUGGUCAAGUAUAGAGUACUAAGGCGCUCGAGUGAUUCGCGGCUAAGGAACUAGGCAAAAUAGCCCUGUAACUUCGGGAGAAAGGGCACCUACCCAAGCAAUUGGGAGGUCGCAGAGAAAUGGCUCAGGCGACUGUUUAACAAAAACAUAGGGCUUUGCAAAAUCGAAAGAUGAGGUAUAAGGCCUGACACCUGCCCGGUGCUGGAAGGUUAAGAGGAGAAGUCAUCGUAAGAGAAGCUUUGAAUUGAAGCCCCAGUAAACGGCGGCCGUAACAAUAACGGUCCUAAGGUAGCGAAAUUCCUUGUCGGGUAAGUUCCGACCUGCACGAAUGGUGUAACGAUCUGAGCACUGUCUCAGCCGCGAGCUCGGUGAAAUUGUAGUAUCGGUGAAGAUGCCGAUUACCCGCAACGGGACGGAAAGACCCCGUGAACCUUUACUGCAACUUAACAUUGAAUUUGGGUAAUUGAUGUGUAGGAUAGGCCGGAGGCUAUGAAUCGGGUACGCUAGUAUUCGUGGAGCCAACCUUGAAAUACGGCCCUUUAAUUAUUUGAGUUCUAAUUCCCAAAGGGAAGACACUGUUUGGUGGGUAGUUUGACUGGGGUGGUCGCCUCCAAAAGCGUAACGGAGGCUUCCAAAGGUACCCUCAGGCCGAUUGGUAACCGGUCGAAGAGUGUAAUGGUAUAAGGGUGCUUGACUGAGAGACCGACAAGUCGAUCAGGUAGGAAACUAGGGCAUAGUGAUCCGGUGGUUCCGUAUGGAAGGGCCAUCGCUCAAAGGAUAAAAGGUACUCCGGGGAUAACAGGCUGAUCAUUCCCAAGAGCUCAUAUCGACGGAAUGGUUUGGCACCUCGAUGUCGGCUCGUCACAUCCUGGGGCUGGAGAAGGUCCCAAGGGUUCGGCUGUUCGCCGAUUAAAGUGGCACGCGAGCUGGGAUCAGAACGUCGUGAGACAGUUCGGUCCCUAUCUGUUGUGGGCGUAGGAAAUUUGAGGAGUUCUGACACUAGUACGAGAGGACCGUGUUGGACGAACCGCUGGUCUACCGGUUGUUCCGCCAGGGGCAUUGCCGG